Molecule: long non-coding RNA, 1446 nt
Organism: Triticum aestivum (bread wheat)
Lineage: Eukaryota; Viridiplantae; Streptophyta; Magnoliopsida; Poales; Poaceae
Exons: 3
Source: RefSeq, a predicted model, not a curated record
CUCGGCCGCACCCCGGUUCGCAGCCUGCCUCAAAUCACAACCUCAUCCAAAUCGACCUACCCUACUUCCACCCCGGCCACCUCGCCGCCGAGCACCUUCCGCUGUGGCCGACCACCAUUCGCCACCCCAAGCAUCCCACCGCAGUGCCUCCCCGACUAUUGUCGCCGGCCACCCUUCGCCUCUUCGUCCCAAACUAUCUGCACAAGGACGGGAAGGGAGGGAGACCCGAUGGGCGGAGGAGGUCGAAGCCGUUGCCCACACCGCGGAUCUGCCGCGGGGAUGCGGGAAGAAAGGACGCGGUUGCGCGGCCCCCGGAUCCGGCGAAGGACGUGCGCAAGAGGCGGCCAACGGGGCGCGGGGCACAACUCCAGAUCCGGGCGGCCCGAGCAGAGCGUGAAGCUAGGAAGCGGGCAUAUGCUUUGGGUGGCCGCCUUCGGUGCAGCCGGCGGCAACGGCAUGGCUGUAGUUUGGCGGCUAGGUUUGGGUGCCCCAGUGUCACCCCUGCAAGUGACAGGAAGUGAGCGACCAGGAACCAGAAGAUGCCGGCAGUCUGCAGGCAUUGCAUUGUCUAAAAUGGAUAUGUGGAAUUACCUAGCAAUCAGGUCUUGUACAAUCUGGAUAAAUAUGGAGUGACAUUUGCGAGCUGUGGCAUGGCCUGCACUAACGUUCACAAGGCUGGUGUCUCUUUUAAAAAACCAUGCAUUUAGUUGUUGUUUGCUUUGACCUGAUCUGAUAGCAAGUGUUUUUUAUGCAUCUUUAGUGAAGAAGUUUUUGAGUGGCUGUCUGCUCGGAGCUACCGGAAGAACAGGCUAGCUGCCAACGCACAAAGACCAAGGCGGAGAAUGAAGGUAGAAGCUAGACAGAAUACCCGAGGAAGGUCGACCUCGAGACUUACUUGAGCCACGAGAAUAUUUCCCUUGAGUUCGAGAGGAUGUUCAGUUGCUUCAUCACUUAGCGUUAUUGAUUAUGUACAACAAGUUGUGUCUCAAGCUUGUAAGUUCUGUUACAAGGAUGAGAUUGUUAGAAUGCUACAAAACUUCUACGUGAUAGCAGUUGUACCAGUCAACUAGGAUGUCUACAUGAUGUUUCUUGUAUUCAUGGCAGCAACAAAAUCUUGUGGCGCAAGGUUAAGCUCUGAUCUUCAAAAGCAUUGCAAGCUUGGUGAUUCUUCUGCGGGAGACAUGUGGUCCUGUUUAAAUUAUGCUGUUUCACAUGAUGGUGGCGAGUCUGUUAUUCACAAGACAUCUAAUGAAGUCAUCCAAUAAAAAGGUUCCGAACAAACAAUUUGUCUUCCUAGACAUGGCUGUAGCUGCGUGUCAAGCUCAAACCAUUUGUUUAGCUUAGUUUGAACAAAAGAAAUCUUAUUGUCUAUGUAAAUUCUGUUUAUUGAUGUAGUUGGACGCUACUGAAUGCAUGUAUGGAUGUUGCAGUACUGAAUUUUAAUCA